RNAcentral lists this unclassified non-coding RNA (1206 nucleotides) under Hevea brasiliensis (rubber tree). The record is from RNAcentral. Lineage: Eukaryota; Viridiplantae; Streptophyta; Magnoliopsida; Malpighiales; Euphorbiaceae.
CUGAAUCAAGAUUAGGGAUUUAACGUUUUAGAUCUCCUUCGAAGGUAAGAGUUCAAAAGUUGAGAAGCUGUGUGAUUCCCAAAGAUUACAGCAAUGUCAAUGGAGGAAGGCAAUGUUGAUGAAGUGCCGGAAAUUCACGUUGAAGGUUAUACCGUAAAUCCUGAGAAACAGUUUUCUGGCACCCACCAUGGAAGGAAUGGGAAUCUCGCCAAAGAAAAUGGAUUGCAUGAUGACAGUCCGUUGACAGAGACUGCUCAUGAGCAGCUUGUACAAAUGGUUAUUGAGCUAAAGUUUCAGAAUGAGUUCUUGAAGUCUCAAUUUGAGGCUUUGAAAAAUCUUCAGUCAGCAGAUGAUGAAUCUCAACAAAGGACAAAAGCAAGUGGUAAAAAAACUGGGGAAUCUGCUGAUAUGGAGGAACUCCAUAAAAGAAUUGAAUCUUUGAGUAGAGAACUUCACGAAGAAAAACAAACACGAGUUGCAGCAGAGGAGGCUUUGAAGCAUCUUCGUGAGGCACACUCUGAAGCAGAUGCAAAGGCCCAAGAGCUCUCAGCAAAGCUUGCUGAAGGUCGGAUGUUGUCUGUUUAUUUGAAGUUUAAUACUGAGUUUCAGAGAGGUCUUGUUAUGAUUCUCUAUAGAUACAACUUUUAAUUUUGGAGAAAAGAAUAUUUAUGUAUGUGGACAAGAGGUUUAGAUUUUCCUUGAGAAUAUCUUAAAAGAGAAGAAAAAAAAAAAGAAAAAAAGAGAAGGAAAGAAAGAAAGAAAGAACGAUGCAUAACUAACCAUUCAAUUGGCAUUUUGAAGAAAUCUGCUUGCCUUCUCAAACCAAGAAAAGUUUUUCCAAAUAUCUAGCACAGUGACUUCAUGUAGUGCUUAAAUCCCAAUUUUUAGGACCAGAAGACAUGAUGUUGGACACUCAACUCCAAAAAACUGGUAUCUCUGUAUGCUUAAUAGUUUGAUAUGCAAUUGCCACAGUAUGUUGCUUGGUGGUUGAAUACAAUAAGUCCAUAUAAUUGAUGACACACACCUUUCAUGAUAGAAAGCAUGUUUAUUAAGAAUGAUGGGUGUUUGCCUCAGCGUGCUAGGUUCAACAUCCCUUUACAUAAAGUGGUCCACUAAGCAAUUGAAACAAGGAGUAACCACUAACCACAAACAUAAGCGUGAAAGAGGACAAGCAUAUGCUACCUGUUUCUCUAUUUCUUUAGUCAC